Molecule: ribosomal RNA, 468 nt
Filed under: Epiactaea nodulosa
Lineage: Eukaryota; Metazoa; Arthropoda; Malacostraca; Decapoda; Xanthidae
Description: partial 16S ribosomal RNA
Rfam family: Bacterial large subunit ribosomal RNA
Source: RNAcentral
CAAAGGUAGCAUAAUCAUUUGGGACUUAAUUAGGACCUGGAAUGAAUGGUUGGACAAAGGAAUAACUGUCUUUAUGACAAGGGUUGAAGUUUACCUUUAAGUGAAAAGGCUUAAAUAUUUCAAAGGGACGAUAAGACCCUAUAAAGCUUUAUAAAUAAUUUAAAUUUUAUUGGUGUAAAGAUUAAAGAUUAAGUUUAGUUAUUUUAUUUCGUUGGGGCGAUGAAAGCAUAAUUACAAGUAACUGCUAAUAAUUAAAGAUUCUAUUAUAAGAGAAUUAUUUAUAAUGAUCCUAUAUAAAGAUUUAAAGGCUAAGUUACUUUAGGGAUAACAGCGUUAUUUCUUUUGAGAGUUCAUAUCGAAAAAGAAGAUUGCGACCUCGAUGUUGAAUUAAAAUGUCUAUAUAAUGAAGGCGUUAUAUAAGAGGGUCUGUUCGACCUUUAAAUUUUUACAUGAUUUGAGUUAAACCGG